RNAcentral lists this ribosomal RNA (438 nucleotides) under uncultured Alphaproteobacteria bacterium. RNAcentral's name for it is "bacterial SSU rRNA". It matches the Rfam family "Bacterial small subunit ribosomal RNA", at positions 71 to 524 of the family's 1533-position model. The record is from RNAcentral. Lineage: Bacteria; Pseudomonadati; Pseudomonadota; Alphaproteobacteria.
GGGGAGAGCUUGCUUUCCCGCUGACGACCGGCGAACGGGUGCGUAACACGUAUGCAACCUACCCUUCACAGGAGGACAGCCCCGAGAAAUCGGGAUUAAUACUCCAUAACAUCACGGAUUCGCAUGUUUCUGUGAUCAAAGUUCCGGCGGUGAAGGAUGGGCAUGCGGCCUAUUAGUUUGUUGGUGAGGUAACGGCUCACCAAGACUACGAUAGGUAGGGGGUCUGAGAGGAUGAUCCCCCACACUGGUACUGAGACACGGCCCAAACUCCUACGGGAGGCAGCAGUGGAGAAUCUUGCACAAUGGAGGAAACUCUGAUGCAGCGAUGCCGCGUGAGUGAAGAAGGCCCUUGGGUUGUAAAGCUCUUUCGUCGGGGAAGAAAAUGACUGUACCCGAAUAAGAAGGUCCGGCUAACUUCGUGCCAGCAGCCGCGGUAAU